GACGAACGCUGGCGGCGUGCUUAACACAUGCCAGUCGAACGGAAAGGCCCUGCUUUUGUGGGGUGCUCGAGUGGCGAACGGGAGAGUAACACGUGAGUAACCUGCCCUUGACUUUGGGAUAACUUCAGGAAACUGGGGCUAAUACCGGAUAGGAGCUCCUGCUGCAUGGUGGGGGUUGGAAAGUUUCGGCGGUUGGGGAUGGACUCGCGGCUUAUGAGCUUGUUGGUGGAGUAGUGGCUUACCAAGGCUUUGACGGGUAGCCGGCCUGAGAGGGUGACCGGCCACAUUGGGACUGAGAUACGGCCCAGACUCCUACGGGAGGCAGCAGUGGGGAAUAUUGCACAAUGGGCGGAAGCCUGAUGCAGCAACGCCGCGUGCGGGAUGACGGCCUUCGGGUUGUAAACCGCUUUCGCCUGUGACGAAGCGUGAGUGACGGUAAUGGGUAAAGAAGCACCGGCUAACUACGUG
Molecule: ribosomal RNA, 468 nt
Filed under: uncultured bacterium
Lineage: Bacteria
Description: partial 16S ribosomal RNA
Rfam family: Bacterial small subunit ribosomal RNA
Source: RNAcentral